Molecule: unclassified non-coding RNA, 89 nt
Filed under: Pseudomonas vancouverensis
Lineage: Bacteria; Pseudomonadati; Pseudomonadota; Gammaproteobacteria; Pseudomonadales; Pseudomonadaceae
Source: RNAcentral
UGUAGGAGCGAGCAUGCUCGCGAUGGUGGCUGCACAUUCAACAUCUAUGUGUCAGACAGUUUGCUAUCGCGAGCAUGCUCGCUCCUACA